Molecule: long non-coding RNA, 279 nt
Filed under: Penaeus monodon (black tiger shrimp)
Lineage: Eukaryota; Metazoa; Arthropoda; Malacostraca; Decapoda; Penaeidae
Description: uncharacterized LOC119586268
Source: RNAcentral
UUUCUCUGCGAGGGAAACAUGCAAGCUUGCGUCGCAGUUUAAUUCUCAGCCUGUGUGUGGCUUUGCAUGCAACACCCGAAAUAAUUCUUGCAUAACCAGCAGUGACGUCCUGUGAGCCCUCUCUCGGCCCGGAAGUGUUGGCAGCCCUGACUGAGAAGAAACAUGUCUGCCGCUGUAGUAAACAACGUUGGCGUGAAGCCCGAAGAAAAACACCAAAAUGAGGAGGAAAAUGCAGAGGACGUGGAUGACAUAGUGGACGGGACGGCGCCCGAGGAGGCC